UGGAGCAACCGCCGCCUUUUUGAAGAAGGCCUUUCGGGUCGUAAAGCACUGUUGUAUGGGAAGAACAGCUAGAAUUGGAAAUGAUUUUAGUUUGACGGUACCAUACCAGAAAGGGACGGCUAAAUACGUGCCAGCAGCCGCGGUAAUACGUAUGUCCCGAGCGUUAUCCGGAUUUAUUGGGCGUAAAGCGAGCGCAGACGGUUUAUUAAGUCUGAUGUGAAAGCCCGGAGCUCAACUCCGGAAUGGCAUUGGAAACUGGUUAACUUGAGUGCAGUAGAGGUAAGUGGAACUCCAUGUGUAGCGGUGGAAUGCGUAGAUAUAUGGAAGAACACCAGUGGCGAAGGCGGCUUACUGGACUGCAACUGACGUUGAGGCUCGAAAGUGUGGGUAGCAAACAGGAUUAGAUACCCUGGUAGUCCACACCGUAAACGAUGAACACUAGGUGUUAGGAGGUUUCCGCCUCUUAGUGCCGAAGCUAACGCAUUAAGUGUUCCGCCUGGGGAGUACGACCGCAAGGUUGAAACUCAAAGGAAUUGACGGGGACCCGCACAAGCGGUGGAGCAUGUGGUUUAAUUCGAAGCAACGCGAAGAACCUUACCAGGUCUUGACAUCCUUUGAAGCUUUUAGAGAUAGAAGUGUUCUCUUCGGAGACAAAGUGACAGGUGGUGCAUGGUCGUCGUCAGCUCGUGUCGUGAGAUGUUGGGUUAAGUCCCGCAACGAGCGCAACCCUUAUUGUUAGUUGCCAGCAUUCAGAUGGGCACUCUAGCGAGACUGCCGGUGACAAACCGGAGGAAGGCGGGGACGACGUCAGAUCAUCAUGCCCCUUAUGACCUGGGCUACACACGUGCUACAAUGGCGUAUACAACGAGUUGCCAGCCCGCGAGGGUGAGCUAAUCUCUUAAAGUACGUCUCAGUUCGGAUUGUAGUCUGCAACUCGACUACAUGAAGUCGGAAUCGCUAGUAAUCGCGGAUCAGCACGCCGCGGUGAAUACGUUCCCGGGUCUUGUACACACCGCCCGUCACACCAUGGGAGUUUGUAAUGCCCAAAGCCGGUGGCCUAACCUUUUAGGAAGGAGCCGUCUAAGGCAGACAGACGCGAG
This 1100-nucleotide ribosomal RNA is filed under the name Leuconostoc mesenteroides. RNAcentral's name for it is "bacterial SSU rRNA". It matches the Rfam family "Bacterial small subunit ribosomal RNA", at positions 387 to 1478 of the family's 1533-position model. The record is from RNAcentral. Lineage: Bacteria; Bacillati; Bacillota; Bacilli; Lactobacillales; Lactobacillaceae.